Molecule: small nuclear RNA, 341 nt
Filed under: Sorex araneus (European shrew)
Lineage: Eukaryota; Metazoa; Chordata; Mammalia; Eulipotyphla; Soricidae
Description: 7SK RNA (ENSSARG00000017768.1)
Rfam family: 7SK RNA
About the family: 7SK was discovered as an abundant small nuclear RNA in the mid-70s but a possible function has only recently been suggested. Two independent studies have found that 7SK RNA binds the CDK9/cyclin T complex (known as elongation factor P-TEFb). P-TEFb activates transcription by phosphorylating the C-terminal domain of RNA polymerase II.
Source: RNAcentral
GGAUGUGAGGGCGAUCUGGCUAUGACAUCUGUCACCUUAUUGAUCGCCAGUGUUGAUUCGACUGAUCUGGCUGGCUAGGCGGGUGUCCCCUUCCUCCCUCACUGCUCCAUGUGCAUCCCUCCCAAAGCUGUGCCCUCGAUCGAAGAGGACGGCCUCCCCCGAAUAUAGGCGGACCGGUCUUCGGUCGAGGGUAUAUUAGUAGCUGUACUCCCCUGCUAGAACCUCCAAACAAGCUCUCAAACCAAAACUAAAAACAAACAAAAAAAUCCCUUGCAAACAAAAAAACAACAAAAAAAAGCCAGAUGAUGAAGAGGUAGUAGAGGAAUUAAGGAGCUUGCCUU